CCCUUAGAUGUUCUGGGCCGCACGCGCGCUACACUGAUACGUUCAGCGAGUAUAUAACCUUGAUUGGAAAAUCUGGGUAAUCUUUUGAAUGCGUAUCGUGCUAGGGAUAGAUUAUUGCAAUUAUUAAUCUUGAACGAGGAAUUCCUAGUAAACGCAAGUCAUCAGCUUGCAUUGAUUACGUCCCUGCCCUUUGUACACACCGCCUGUCGCACAAACCGAUUGAAUGGUUCGGUGAAAAUUUUGGACAUCGAGAGUGGUGAUUAAUUUCGCUGCUCUUAAAUGGAAAGAAUUUAAACCUAAUUAUUUAGAGGAUUGUGAAGUCAUAACA
RNAcentral lists this ribosomal RNA (328 nucleotides) under uncultured eukaryote. RNAcentral's name for it is "partial 18S ribosomal RNA". It matches the Rfam family "Eukaryotic small subunit ribosomal RNA", at positions 1470 to 1796 of the family's 1831-position model. The record is from RNAcentral.